GCUAAUACCGGAUAAUAACAGAUGAUGCCUAUCAACUGUUUAAAGAUGUUCUGCUAUCACUCUUGGGAUGGACCUGCGGUGCAUUAGCUAGUUGGUAGGGGUAACGGGCCUACCAAGGCGAUGAUGCAUAGCCCGAGUUGAGAGACUGAUCGGGCCACAUUGGGACUGAGACACGGGCCCAAACUCCUACGGGAGGCAGCAGUAGGGGAAUCUUCCACAAUGGACGCAAAGUCUGGUGGAGCAAACGCCGCGUGAGUGAAGAAGGGUUUCGGCUCGUAAAAAGCUCUGUUGUUGGUGAAGAAGGACAGGGGUAGUAACUGACCCUUUGUUUGACGGUAAUCAAUUAGAAAGUCACGGGCUAACUACGUGCCAGCAGCCGCGGUAAAU
RNAcentral lists this ribosomal RNA (387 nucleotides) under uncultured Lactobacillus sp. RNAcentral's name for it is "bacterial SSU rRNA". It matches the Rfam family "Bacterial small subunit ribosomal RNA", at positions 162 to 525 of the family's 1533-position model. Lineage: Bacteria; Bacillati; Bacillota; Bacilli; Lactobacillales; Lactobacillaceae. The record is from RNAcentral.